Taeniopygia guttata (zebra finch) is the source of this 3383-nucleotide non-coding RNA. NCBI's taxonomy places the organism in Eukaryota, Metazoa, Chordata, Aves, Passeriformes, Estrildidae. The record is from RefSeq and is a predicted model, not a curated record.
CUGGAGGAGAGGUGCCACCUAAAGGAAGCGGCGGAGAGGGACGCCCGGCGGCGGGCACCGGGCCCGCUCCUCCUCCCACCUCCCGCCGCAGCCGCGCCCGCACCGCCCCGGGGACCGCGGGGAACGCGGCUCGCAGCCCCUCGGGAGGCACCGGAGAGCUCGGCGGGUGUUUUCACCUGCUCUGGAUCUGCGCACCGGGGAGGCGGCGAGAGACAUCCGAACCCGCGGUGCCUCCUCUUCCUCACCAGAUUCGGCUGCUGCGGGUGCGGAGCCGCUGCUUUCCCGAGGGAUGAGGAUUCAGAGAGCCCUUUGGGUACAGCCCGAAGGAGAACUCUUCCCUGUGGCUGAGCCCUCUCGUCAUCCCUGCCCUUUGGGGUCAGUCUUCCGCGGGCAGGAAGGACAGCGGCGUGCCUCAGUUUACCCAAAGAGCACGAGGGUUUCACUGUAGCUGAAGCAGGGUGAAGCUGGAUUCCCACCCUGCUCAGCCCUCCCUGUCCGGGAGGGUCAAGGGCUCCCGCACAGGGAGAUCCCAUCUGCAGCCAUCCCUCCUGAGAAACAGAAAGGUGGAUUUUUAUUAACUGAACUCGUUUGCUCAGUGAGGAAAGGAGGAGGGAAGGAUUGUGCCCGGGAAAGCUGAACAAUAUGGGGAGGUGGUGGCUCUGUCCCUGCUAGGCAGAGGUUCAGCUGCCACCAGAGCCAUGGACAAUGUGGGAUAUGUCUGUGUGCAUGUGAAACCCCACUUGGAACUCUGCAUACAGUCCUGGUGCCCCCAGCACAUGGGACAUAGAGCUCUGGGAGCAGGUCUGGACUGGAGCCCCUCCCCAAUGGAGCCACACUGGGAGCUGGGAUUGUUCAGCCUGGAGAGGAGAAAGUUGUGUGGAGACCUCACAGCACCUUCCAGGGUCAGAAGGGGCUGCAAGGAAGCCAGAGAGGGACUUUUCAUCAAGAACCAGAGUGCCAGGACACAGUGAAUGGCUUCCCACUGCCAGAGGGCAGGGCUGGAUGGGAUAUUGGGAAGGAAUUGUUCCCUGGGAGGGUGGGCAGCCCUGGCACAGGGUGCCCAGAGCAGCUGUGGCUGCCCCUGGAUCCCUGGCAGUGCCCAAGGCCAGGCUGGACACUGGGAGGUGUCCCUGCCCACGGCAGGGGUGGGAAUGGAUGAGCUGGUUCCUUCCAGCCCAACCCAUUCUGACAUUCUAUAAUGUGUGUAAUUAUCUUUACCUGUGUACACCAGGAAUAGAAACGCUACUGAGCCUUCACCCUCGCUUGUGGUUUGUCACCCCAAUAUAGGCCUCAGGGUUGUUGUCACAACCACAUCCCUCCCAGGCCAGCCCAGUUUCCACCUUUCUUGUAGGCAUCACUGCACAGUGAGCCAGGGUUCAUUUCUCCUGUGUGCCAAAUCCUCUCACCACACCCAGAGCUGAGGGUCCCUCACACUGACCCAGCCCACAACCAUCUAUGGGAAAAAGAAGCUCACCCAAAGACACCCAGCUGAACACUUGGGGCAACUGGAGGUGAUUUGCUCAGUGUGGGCCUUAUUUGUGCAACAGCCUCAACUGGCCCAAGGUCCUGGGCUCAGAAUCACAGGAUGGAUUGGGUUAGAAGGGAUCUUAAAGCUCACCUGGUUCCGAUCCCACUGCCGUGGGCAGGGAUACCGUCAUUAGGUCAUUGAAAACCCACCUGAAAGUGACCCAGAAGAGCUGUCCAGACACCCUCUAAUGGCAGAUGUGAAGUUCUGUGCAGCCCAGGGCCUGCAGCCCCUUCCUGCACCCCUGGAGAGGGCAGCUGGCACCUGGGGAGGGCAGGGGGCUCCCUCUGGCCGCUCUCUUUCUGCUCCUCCAGAGUGCAAAGGUGCCGAGAUGAUUCCCUAAACCUCUUCCUUCCCACACCUGCAGUCCAGCUCAGGCAUCCCCUGAUCUUCUCCAGCCCUUCUGCCUCGCCUGCCCCUUCCCUCUGUUUGCUCUGGGUGACUCCAGCUGUAUCCUGCCCAUCCUGGAUUUUCCAGGAGCCCUGCACACACUUAAUGAACAGGAGAGCUCUUAAUGAACGUGCUGCCAGAGGAGCAUUGUGCCCACAGGGCCACAGCUGGAACACUUGGGUCACUUUUGGAUGCUUGGGCCAGUCCAUGGCAGGUCUGCUCUGAAGGAACAGAAGGGUUUUCUGGGAAUGCCAGGAGAGGUGAGGUCUGGGAAGAGACAAGGAACAUUCCUGUGCAAUCUGCUGCAGCACACUCUGCUGUUGGUUUGUGGACAUCUUCUGGGCGGGAGGAUGAUCCCACCCUGCCCAGCUAUUGCUGCAGUGGCAGCCCAGCUAGCACAGGUUAGGAACGUGCUGCACCUCCCUUUUGAACACGCCUGCCAGCACUCCUGUUUCAGCAGUGCCCUUCCACUCCACCACCCCAAGCGCUGCAGCAGGGGAGAGAGGUCACCGACGUGUGGGGCAUCAAAAUAGCUGCAGAAGAAAGGACCCUGGAGCUGGAAUUUCCUGGGAGAGGGCUGGAAGAGCCUGAAGGAAUUGACACCUGAAGCCCAAUGUUGACUAAAGUGUAUCUUGUUCUGGUGCAGAAAAGGCUUUUCACCCUUUCUUCCCCGUGGCCUUGUGGCUGCACCUGUGCCUGAUGUGGCUGGGAGUGCCUGAAAACACCUCUGAGAGGAGCAAGGAGGCAGAAAAUGGCACCGAAAGCCCAGUUUUUUUCUCUUUCUAGUGGAAGGGGGACAAGAUGCUCUUUUAAGGUCCCUUCCAACCCAGAGGCUCCUGGGACUCUGCAUUGUGCCUCCACCAGGCUCUGGCACUGCCUGUGCUCCCAGGAGACAGGAGGAGCUGUGGGCAAGCAGCAGCUGAGGGAAUGUCACCUGCUCCAGGGGUAACCAUCCCUCUGGGCCUCUGGAAGAGUCACCCUGCAGAGACACAAGAUCUUUUUGAAGCAGUCUCCACCUGCUCUGAGACCGGGGAUGGGCACACAGUGGGGCAGAUUCUCAACCACGCACCCAAAAGGGCUCCCCAGAGCCACCACCACUGCACUGUUGACAAAGUUUAUGUUUGACACCUUUUACCUGUUGACUUUGGUGAAGGGCACCAAGACCAUGGCUCUUUCCUGGACAUUUCCAGCAGCUGGAACAUGGCCCUGCAGACUGGGAGGCACUGGGAGGCUUUACAUCAGCAGGGCUCCUGGGCCAGGGGGGCACUCGGGGAGGAUCUGUGCUGGCAGGAUUUAUCCAGGCACCCAGAGCAGCUCCUGCUCCAUUUUCAGUGCCUGAACUGGGGCACUCCAGUGGGCAGAGAAGUUCUGUGCUGGCAGAGUGACCCUUCCAGCAGAACAGAGUACCGAGACUGAACCAUCUUACCUGCACACCAUCUAUAAUAUAAAACAGGUAUUUUACACGUAA